GACGAACGCUGGCGGCGUGCUUAACACAUGCAAGUCGAGCGGUAAGGCCCUUUCGGGGUACACGAGCGGCGAACGGUGAGUAACACGUGGUGACCUGCCCUCAGCUCUGGGAUAAGCCUGGAAACCGGGUCUAAUACUGGAUAUGACUCCAUGACGCAUGUUGUGGGUGAAAGCCUUGUGCGGCUGAGGAUGGGCCCGCGGCCUAUCAGCUUGUUGGUGGGGUGANGGCCUACCAAGGCGACGACGGGUAGCCGGCCUGAGAGGCGACCGGCCACACUGGGACUGAGACACGGCCCAGACUCCUACGGGAGGCAGCAGUGGGGAAUCUUGCGCAAUGGGCGAAAGCCUG
This 349-nucleotide ribosomal RNA is filed under the name uncultured bacterium. Its description in RNAcentral is "bacterial SSU rRNA". It matches the Rfam family "Bacterial small subunit ribosomal RNA", at positions 28 to 385 of the family's 1533-position model. The record is from RNAcentral.